This 962-nucleotide non-coding RNA is filed under the name Datnioides polota (four-banded tigerfish). RNAcentral describes it as "12S ribosomal RNA". It matches the Rfam family "Bacterial small subunit ribosomal RNA". The record is from RNAcentral. Lineage: Eukaryota; Metazoa; Chordata; Actinopteri; Lobotiformes; Datnioididae.
CAAAGGCUUGGUCCUGACUUUACUGACAGCCCUAACUAAACUUACACAUGCAAGUAUCCGCACUCCCGUGAGAAUGCCCCACAGUUCCCCAAUAGGAAACAAGGAGCUGGUAUCAGGCACAUCUCUCCCCCUUUUAUUAUCCGCCCACGACACCUUGCUUAGCCACACCCUCAAGGGAAUUUCAGCAGUGAAAGACAUUAAGCUAUAAGUGAAAACUUGACUCAGCUAUAGUUAAGAGAGCCGGUAAAACUCGUGCCAGCCACCGCGGUUAUACGAGAGGCCCAAGUUGUCAGUCACCGGCGUAAAGCGUGGUUAAGAACCCCAAACUUACUAAAGCCGCACACCCUAUGAGCUGUUAUACGCAUACGAGGGUGAGAAGAACAACCCACGAAGGUAGCUUCACAAUAUCCGACCCCACGAAAGCCAGGAAACAAACUGGGAUUAGAUACCCCACUAUGCCUGGUCCUAAACAUUUAUAGCACAUCACACUUGCUAUUCGCCUGGGCACUACGAGCACCAGCUUGAAACCCAAAGGACUUGGCGGUACCUCAGAUCCACCUAGAGGAGCCUGUUCUAGAACCGAUAACCCCCGUUUAACCUCGCCCCUUUUCGCCCGCCCGCCUAUAUACCACCGUCGUCAGCUUACCCUGUGAAGGCUUCUAGUGAGCAAGACUGGCAUAACCCUGAACGUCAGGUCGAGGUGUAGCACAUAAAGGGGAAAGAAAUGGGCUACAUUUACUAACUAAGUGCACACGAAUGGUGCGAUGAAAAUUUAUAUACAGAAGGAGGAUUUAGUAGUAAGCUACAAAUAGAGAGUAUUGCUGAAUUUGGCUCUGAAGUGCGCACACACCGCCCGUCACUCUCCCCUCGAUCACUGAUUUUUCCGUACUUAAUUUACCAAAACUUUCAAGGGGAGGCAAGUCGUAACAUGGUAAGCGUACCGGAAGGUGCGCUUGGCCUAG